CAAGGAGGAGGAAGGUGAGGACGACGUCAAGUCAGUCAUGGCCCUUACGGCCAGGGCUACACACGUGCUACAAUGGGGCGUACAGAGAGCUGCGAUACCGCGAGGUGGAGCCAAUCUCUUAAAGCGUCUCUCAGUUCGGAUUGUUCUCUGCAACUCGAGAACAUGAAGCUGGAAUCACUAGUAAUCGCAGAUCAGCUAUGCUGCGGUGAAUACGUUCCCGGGCCUU
RNAcentral lists this ribosomal RNA (226 nucleotides) under uncultured Sulfuricurvum sp. RNAcentral's name for it is "partial 16S ribosomal RNA". It matches the Rfam family "Bacterial small subunit ribosomal RNA", at positions 1159 to 1382 of the family's 1533-position model. Lineage: Bacteria; Pseudomonadati; Campylobacterota; Epsilonproteobacteria; Campylobacterales; Sulfurimonadaceae. The record is from RNAcentral.